AACGCUAGCUACAGGCUUAACACAUGCAAGUCGAGGGGCAGCGGGAUUGAAGCUUGCUUCAAUUGCCGGCGACCGGCGCACGGGUGAGUAACGCGUAUCCAACCUUCCGCUUACUCGGGGAUAGCCUUUCGAAAGAAAGAUUAAUACCCGAUUGUAUCUUAAGCACGCAUGAGAUUAAGAUUAAAGAUUUAUCGGUAAGCGAUGGGGAUGCGUUCCAUUAGGCAGUUGGCGGGGUAACGGCCCACCAAACCAACGAUGGAUAGGGGUUCUGAGAGGAAGGUCCCCCACAUUGGAACUGAGACACGGUCCAAACUCCUACGGGAGGCAGCAGUGAGGAAUAUUGGUCAAUGGGCGAGAGCCUGAACCAGCCAAGUAGCGUGAAGGAUGACGGCCCUACGGGUUGUAAACUUCUUUUGUGCGGGAAUAAAGUUAGCCACGUGUGGCUUUUUGUAUGUACCGUAUGAAUAAGGAUCGGCUAACUCCGUGCCAGCAGCCGCGGUAAUACGGAGGAUCCGAGCGUUAUCCGGAUUUAUUGGGUUUAAAGGGAGCGUAGGCGGGUUGUUAAGUCAGUUGUGAAAGUUUGCGGCUCAACCGUAAAAUUGCAGUUGAUACUGGCGACCUUGAGUGCAACAGAGGUAGGCGGAAUUCGUGGUGUAGCGGUGAAAUGCUUAGAUAUCACGAAGAACUCCGAUUG
Molecule: ribosomal RNA, 694 nt
Filed under: uncultured bacterium
Lineage: Bacteria
Description: bacterial SSU rRNA
Rfam family: Bacterial small subunit ribosomal RNA
Source: RNAcentral